UAUACUUUCAAGUAAGUUUAUUUUAAUUGUAUUUUAAAUUUAAACGCGCAGUUCUUGCAAUAUAGAACAAUAAUUGCUCCUUUUCCAUAAUGUUCAAUUAUGAAACAUUUCGCUCUUUUAACCACCCUUCUUUCUCCGUCUUGGAAUUAAAAUCCCUAUCUAAUAUGAAAGUAAUCUUGUGGGCCUCGGCUAUUUAAUAUUCUAUAUAUUCAUUAUUCUUCUAAUUGAUAUAACAAUUUCACAUCCCAUGAAAAAAAGUUUUGAUUGAGGCUUGCAUUGUCGAUCAACCGUAAACUGAUAAGCUAUUUCUGAUGUUGAAGGCAUGUCAUUUCUUCUGAAUAGAGUAGCUCGGCUUAUUUGAACUUCUCUCCUCCCAGAAUUUAGAAACAAUUUAGUUCGCUCCAUAUCGCAACAGAAAGGAAGUUUGAAUAACCUCAUAUAUCGAAUGCGGGGAGAAUUUCACUAACUUUCAAUGAAAAUAAGUAAUUGGCUGGAGCAUCGAUAGGAAAACUUGGGUAAUCGAGCUUUAGAGAUAAAAAAUAAACAUUUUUAAAUGUAGCUAUUCUAAUUUUAUUUAUACAAAUUUGGUAUUGAACCUCUUUGAACUUAAACAUGUAAAAAAAAUCAUUUUCAUAAAAUUUUUAAAAAUAUGAAAUGUUUUAAGACAAAGACGUAGUUUGAAAGCAACGUUGCUUGUUGUAAACAAAAAAAGCACAAUUUGAUCACUUUUCUGCAAUUCACCUUCAAAAAUUUAAAAACGGUAAUCUUUACUUUCUGAAUUGAAUUAGUUAUGUUUUGAACCUUGAGCUUCAGCGCAGAUUAUCCUACAAAAGUAUCUUGUACUAGAAUAAUAUCUAUAUAAAAACGGUAAUCGCUAGCAAUGAGUUGCCGCUGAACUAUUUUUAACUAUUUGAAACUUUCUAAGAUGAAUUAAAAUAUACACGCUUGAUGGACGCUUAGAUAGAAUGAGGAAGAAACAUUAAUAGUCUCUGGAUAUUCCAUGCAUGUGGCUUCUAAACGACGUGAGUGCCAGAAUUAUAUGGGUUUUACAUGGUAAAGGCUAAUGACAGAGACAAGAACCAUGGUGAUUGUUUUCUUGUGCCUUUUUCUACAAAUGUGCCGAUUGAAUGAAUGUUAAGUUGGCAUCUUCAAUGUGUAAAAAUGAUUGGAACAUUAGAUCUUGAAUUUAAACUGUUUCACUAAACCACAUAGUUUCUGUUAGAUUCAUUACAUUUUUUAAUCAUUUGAGUGAAAUGGAAAGUCACAGAAAUCAUUAAAGAAGCAGAUUAGCCGUUUAAUGGGAACAAUUGCACAACGUCAUUCACCAUAAGAAGAGGGAGGGACUGCCUUUACAGCUUUUGGCAAAAAGCACGGAUAGUAGCUGUCCAGAUGGCCAAAAAAAAUUUUGUUUCACACAAAGUAAUAUCGGCUGGAUAACUUUUGACGCUUAAUAGAUACUAAUUUGCGUGAUAAAGAUAUGAUGCCAAACACCGUAUUUUCUCAGUUCCAUACACAUGUCAUCUAUAUCAAUUUUGCUGGAUGCGAGGAAGUAUUCGCUUAAGAUACGUCUAUGUAUCCAAAGGCACAAUUGACAUGUUUUGACCGAAAUGACCAUGGCUCAACAGGAAAUAUCUGGAACCUACAAGUGGAUUUUGGAAUUUGGACCCUUUUCAAAUUAAAUUAUGGUCAGAGAUCCAACAGAUAUAAUUGAUAGUUUCAAAAGCUAGGAAUAUUAAACCAAGUUCAAAAUGCAUCGCCUUUAAUACUCGCAAAUUAUCAAGACUUAAAUUCAGUCUGCACAGUGGAUUGAAAGUGAAAGGUUUAUGAUCUCUCCAUAUACCAGACAAGUGGUUUCAAAGAAACGAGGGCAAAAUCAUGUGGAUUUAACAUGUGUAAUCCGUGAUAGAAGAAAAUAACCAUGAAGAUUUCUUCUUAUUAAACUAUGGAAUCAAUGUUAAUUUGGAGGAUUUUUUUUUGUGCAAUGACAGCAAGAACUUGUGAGAUAACAUCCGUUUGCUCCAGUUUACUUGUACUUAAAUACUUGGGUGAAAUAGAACGUCAUAUAAAGCAAACAAAGAUCAACUAAUCUGCAUUUGAUUCUACAGCAGCGCACUGUGCAAAGAAUACAUCUGAUGUCAUCUAUUUGAAUAACGAAACUCCAUCUGUGGAAUGAAAGGCCUUUUCAGUUCCAGCUACAAACUCUAUAUACAAAGGAUGUCUGGAUGCACAGGAAAGAACGGUACUGAAGUGAUUUCGAUAUUAACAGGAGUUGGCCGAAAUGAUAGCGGUAAAACGGAUGGCAUUCAGAAUCUUCAUCAAGCGAAUAUUAGAACUCGGUGCCUUUAAAAGGAAAUAUUGGAUGGCGAUCCAACAGAUGCAGCUUGUGUCUUUGGUCUGAUAUUAGAGCAAACCCAAAAUGAGUAUUUUGUGCCAAUAUAUUAUCAAUGAUAUGCAUGGUGGAAAUGUAAAUGUAUAUGUAGUUAACAUUACUUGAGGAUAUCAAUACAUCUCUGAAAUACUUUGUUCUUCUAUUUUAAGGUGUUGAAUAUUUAUAUAUUUUUGGAGAAUUCUUUCAAUCAAUGCGUAAUUGUUCUUGAACUUGGAAUUCUUGGAACUUGGAAAAGGUUGAAGUGCAUGGAAUGUAAAUCGUUCAAAGCCUGUGUUUGGCAUAUGAAUCAAUAUUUCUUAACUGUUCUGGAAAUUGUUAUGCAUAUGUCCAUUUUAAUAGCUUCUGGUACAUUAUAUUUCCUUCAAAGUGGAUAUUUGUAUUCUACUCUUUUAGACACAAGUAUUUUUUUUAAAUAUUAUAGACAUAUGAAACAUUUUUAUGGAUAAAUUAAAAUUUGAUAGUGUGUUUGAUUUUUUGCUGAAUAUCUAAAACCAAUUUCCAUCAAUUUUUCUUUCAACGCGUAUAAAAUUGACUUCAAAAUUUCAUUUGUAACCAUACUCUUAUUAGAAGUUAACAAGUCGAACUUUUGUUACUCUCCCAGCAAUAUAGCCAGUGAUCUCAACCACUGUCACAGAAUUGAAAUAAAAAAUAUAUAACGCCUUAAUUUGCAUUUGACAUUUCUCCAUUGUCAACGGAGAAUACACUUUCAUGAUAUUGGAUGAUUUGUUAACAUUCUUUUUCAUCAUCGAUUGCAUUAUUAAAAUUCUAAAAAUUUAAUUUUUUGUCAACCGAUUAGGUGUUAUUCCUUCUCAUCAACAUAAUUGUUUGUAGACAGUUUUCAAUUUUUUGACAGAUUUUACAAAGUAGUCUUUCUUUAUUUUCAUUUAUUACUGAAUGUCAAAGAUCGCGAAAGCAAUUUCAUUCAUUUUUCCUGAAUAGAAAUUUAAAUAUAGUGUCAAAGAUCAUUAUUUGAAAUUUAAUUUCAACACUUUGAGAAAUUUUAUCACGAUUUUUGUAGCUAUAUUAAUCAAAUAUCUGUACAUUGCAUCCAUUUUCAAUUAUUUUUUUAAAUCAAGAUUCUAUUCUUAUUAAAUUUAUUAAAAAUUGGUGAUAAUAAAUGAUUAAUAGAACUUCACUUUGUGACUAUGAAAUAAGUUACCACAAACUCAGUAUAUUUAGUGUAAUGGCUAUGU
Argiope bruennichi is the source of this 3582-nucleotide long non-coding RNA. RefSeq lists it as uncharacterized. The record is from RefSeq and is a predicted model, not a curated record. The transcript has 4 exons. NCBI's taxonomy places the organism in Eukaryota, Metazoa, Arthropoda, Arachnida, Araneae, Araneidae.